This 433-nucleotide ribosomal RNA is filed under the name uncultured bacterium. Its description in RNAcentral is "partial 16S ribosomal RNA". It matches the Rfam family "Bacterial small subunit ribosomal RNA", at positions 29 to 507 of the family's 1533-position model. The record is from RNAcentral.
AACGAACGCUGGCGGCAGGCCUAACACAUGCAAGUCGAGCGAGGACUUCGGUUCUAGCGGCGGACGGGUGGGUAACGCGUGGGAAUGUGCCCUUCUCUACGGAAUAGCCCUGGGAAACUGGGAGUAAUACCGUAUACGCCCUAUUGGGGAAAGAUUUAUCGGAGAAGGAUCAGCCCGCGUGGGAUUAGGUAGUUGGUGGGGUAAUGGCCUACCAAGCCGACGAUCCAUAGCUGGUUUGAGAGGAUGAGCAGCCACACUGGGACUGAGACACGGCCCAGACUCCUACGGGAGGCAGCAGUGGGGAAUCUUAGACAAUGGGGGCAACCCUGAUCUAGCCAUGCUGCGUGAGUGAUGAAGGCCUUAGGGUUGUAAAGCUCUUUCAGCUGGGAAGAUAAUGACGGUACCAGCAGAAGAAGCCCCGGCUAACUCCGUG